This 216-nucleotide ribosomal RNA is filed under the name uncultured bacterium. RNAcentral's name for it is "partial 16S ribosomal RNA". It matches the Rfam family "Bacterial small subunit ribosomal RNA", at positions 1286 to 1500 of the family's 1533-position model. The record is from RNAcentral.
UCCCAGUUCGGAUUGUAGUCUGCAACCCGACUACAUGAAGCUGGAAUCGCUAGUAAUCGCGGGUCAGCAUACUGCGGUGAAUACGUUCCCGGGUCUUGUACACACCGCCCGUCACACCAUGGGGAGCCGGAAAUGCCCGAAGCCAGUGACCCAACCUUAGGGAGGGAGCUGUCGAAGGUGGAGCCGGUAACUGGGGUGAAGUCGUAACAAGGUACC